RNAcentral lists this unclassified non-coding RNA (295 nucleotides) under Hevea brasiliensis (rubber tree). The record is from RNAcentral. Lineage: Eukaryota; Viridiplantae; Streptophyta; Magnoliopsida; Malpighiales; Euphorbiaceae.
UGCAAGCACUACAGGGCCGAUUCUACUCCGGUCGCCCGAUUAUUGCUGAUUUUUCACCUGUCACUGAUUUCCGUGAAGCUACGUGCAGACAGUAUGAGGAAAAUAAUUGCAACCGUGGGGGUUACUGUAAUUUCAUGCACGUGAAGUUGAUUGGUAGAGAUUUGAGGAGGAAACUGUUUGGAAGGUACCGAGGAUACAGAGUUAGUAGGAGCCGAAGCAGAAGCAUGAGGCCAAGGCACAGGAGGGAUAGGGAGAAUGAUAGGCCAGAGAAGGAUUAUCGGGACCGAGACCGCGA